This 1433-nucleotide ribosomal RNA is filed under the name Scinax uruguayus (Schmidt's Uruguay treefrog). RNAcentral's name for it is "partial 16S ribosomal RNA". It matches the Rfam family "Bacterial large subunit ribosomal RNA", at positions 135 to 2597 of the family's 2925-position model. Lineage: Eukaryota; Metazoa; Chordata; Amphibia; Anura; Hylidae. The record is from RNAcentral.
GCCUAAAACCUAGCUCAAACAAUUAUUAUUAAACCCAUUUUUACAAAUUUAACUAACUAAAACAUUUUAAUAUUCUAGUAAAGGAGAUUGAAAAAUUUUUUGGAGCUAUAAACAUAGUACCGCAAGGGAAAGGUGAAAUAGAAAUUAAAAACCUUUAAGCAUAAAAAAGUAGAGAUUAACCCUCGUACCUUUUGCAUCAUGGUUUAACUAGUCUAACCAAGCAAAAAGAAUUAUAGUUUGAACCCCCGAAACUAAGCGAGCUACUUCAGGACAGCUUUAUGAGCUAACCCGUCUCUGUUGCAAAAGAGUGGGACGAUCCUCAAGUAGAGGUGAUAGACCUAACGAGCCUAGUGAUAGCUGGUUAUUCAGGAAAAGGGUUUUAGCCCAACCUAAAGUUUCUGUAGUCCUAUAAAACCUACCCUAAACUUUAGAGUAAUUCAAAUAAGGUACAGCCUAUUUGAAACAGGAAACAACCUCGACUGGCGGGUAUUAAUCAGAACCUUUCUCCUCCAAGUUGGCCUAAAAGCAGCCACCUUAAUAAAGCGUCAAAGCUAGCUCGAAAAAGGACACCUAAUCCCACACACACUCUUAAACCCCCUCCCACCACUGAAUAAUUCUAUACACCUAUAGAAGUUUUAAUGUUAAAACUAGUAACAAGAAGAUCGCUCUUCUCCUAAGUGUGAGCAUAAAUCAGAAAGGACAACCCACUGAUAAUUAACGCCAGUGAAUAUACAUUAGCAACUUUAUCAAGAAAACCCUAAUUUUCCCCACGUUAACCUAACACCAGAACACUUCAAGAAAGAUUUAAAGGAAAAGAAGGAACUCGGCAAAUAUUAACCCCGCCUGUUUACCAAAAACAUCGCCUCUUGAAUAAAAAUAAGAGGUCCAGCCUGCCCAGUGACACUAGUUCAACGGCCGCGGUAUCCUAACCGUGCGAAGGUAGCGUAAUCACUUGUUCUUUAAAUAAGGACUAGUAUGAAUGGCAUCACGAGGGUUAUACUGUCUCCUCUUCCUAAUCAGUGAAACUAAUCUUCCCGUGAAGAAGCGGGAAUACAGCUAUAAGACGAGAAGACCCUAUGGAGCUUUAAAUUUCUCUUCAACUGCCCCUCCCCCUCCCCACGUCUUUGACUUCUUACAUUCACUUCGGCACCAUGAAGAUGAAUUUUAGGUUGGGGUGACCGCGGAGCACAAAAUAACCUCCACAUUGUAUAGGCCUAAAACCUUGAGCAAAGAACAACAAUUCUAUGCACUAAAACAUUAACACCCAUUGACCCAAUACACUUGAUCAACGAACCAAGUUACCCUAGGGAUAACAGCGCAAUCUUCCUCGAGAGUUCAUAUCGACAGGCAGGUUUACGACCUCGAUGUUGGAUCAGGGUAUCCCGGUGGUGCAGCCGCUACUAAUGGUUCGUUUGUUCAACGAUUAAAACCCU